GGAAGUAAAAGUCGUACAAGGUUUCCGUAGGUGAACCUGCGGAAGGAUCAUUACUGAGUGAGGGCCCCUCGGGGUCCAACCUCCCACCCGUGUUUAACGAACCUUGUUGCUUCGGCGGGCCCGCCUCACGGCCGCCGGGGGGCAUCUGCCCCCGGGCCCGCGCCCGCCGAAGCCACCUGUGAACGCUGUCUGAAGUAUGCAGUCUGAGACAAUUAUUAAAUUAAUUAAAACUUUCAACAACGGAUCUCUUGGUUCCG
Molecule: unclassified non-coding RNA, 257 nt
Filed under: plant metagenome
Description: partial contains small subunit ribosomal RNA, internal transcribed spacer 1, and 5.8S ribosomal RNA
Rfam family: Eukaryotic small subunit ribosomal RNA (bases 1-53)
Source: RNAcentral